AUGCACCCGACCACGUCAACGAAUGACAUCUGGCACUACACCUGGGGCAAGGCAGAUUACCGGCCCACUGAUUACUACAAGUUCUAUUUUAGAGACGCGAACGCCCACCCAACAUUCUCUCUGCUCUGGCGUUCUCACUGCAUCAUGCGGAUCAAGGUUUUUGGAUGGCUUCUCAUGAACGAUAGAUUGAACACACAUAACAUGUUGAAGCGACGCCACUUUGACAUUGGCAAUGACCACAGUUGUUUGCUAUGUGGCACUCCAAUUGAGGAGACACUUGAUCACAUGAUUUUUACUCGCCGUUUAGCAGAUCUUGCUGGCAAAAACUUGGCAUUGACUGGCCCUCAUUCACCUGCCGCCUCCAACUGCUUCAACAUGGUAAAGAAACUUGGGGGCGCCCGCUCUUCUUUGACAUAUUUCUAG
This 423-nucleotide ribosomal RNA is filed under the name Triticum aestivum (bread wheat). RNAcentral describes it as "partial small subunit ribosomal RNA". The record is from RNAcentral. Lineage: Eukaryota; Viridiplantae; Streptophyta; Magnoliopsida; Poales; Poaceae.